RNAcentral lists this long non-coding RNA (5051 nucleotides) under Mus musculus (house mouse). RNAcentral's name for it is "long non-coding RNA chr19:16396819-16401870". The record is from RNAcentral. Lineage: Eukaryota; Metazoa; Chordata; Mammalia; Rodentia; Muridae.
AUGGCCAAAAAGCAAGUUGGGGAGGAAAGGGUGUAUUUGUCUUACACAUCACUAAUGUUCAUCAAAGGAAGCCAGAACAGGAUCUCAAACAGGGUAGGAACCUGGAAGCAGGAGCAGAACAUGGAGGGGUGCUGCUUACCGCCUUGGCUUGCUCAGCCUGCUUUCUUAUAAAAUCUGAAGCACCUCUCACAAUUGACUGGGCCUUCACCAUCACUAAGUAAGAAAAGGCUUCACGGCUAGAUCUUAUGGAGACAUUUUCUCAACUAAGAUUUCAAAUGGCUCUAGUUUCUGUUGGCAUAAGACAAGCAUAAGCUAGCACAGUGAGCAAAUGUGAGGACCAGAGUUCUGAUCCUCAAAACCAAUGAGAGAGAGAGAGAGAGAAAGAGAGAGAGAGAGAGAGAGAGAGAGAGAGAGAGAGAGAGAGAGAGAGAGAGAGAGGUCAAACCAGGAAUGAUGGCAUGUGCCUAUAGUCCCACCCCUGGGGAGGUGGAGACAGGCAUUCAAUGCCCGAGCUAGCCUAAGUCUUCAGGGUUAGGUUCAGGCCAGUGGGAGACUUUGUCUCAAAACACCAAGGUUGCUAACUACUGAGCAAGCCAUGACACAGAGGCUGACCUGGCCUCUGCUGCACACAGGCAAAAUGUCCAGGUUUCACCUGAAGUUCAAUCAUCAUGCUAACAAUCAGGAGUAUCUCAAAAUAAAUGAAAAGUCACCACUGAGAGAUGCUGGCACAAAGGUAGGGAUUAUCGAACAAUUUAAAGGAAGUAAACAUGAAACUAUUCCAAUGAUCAAUUAAAACCUUGUCUACAAGGAAAAAAAAAUAGUCUCACUACAGACACUCUCAGUAAAUGCAUAUGAAACAAAGUGACAAUUUUACAACCUAAAACCAUAAUAAUUGAACUAAAAUUCAGGUGAGAGUAGAACCACAGAAUGGGAGCUGGAGGUAUGGCUUCAUAGCUGAGCUCAUGCUUAGCUUGCAGAAGCCCUAGGUUCCAUUGUACAGAGAGAGGCGGGAAAGGGAAACCACUCACAGCUAGUAGGUAGGUUCAUUAACUUCUCAAUGUAUAAAAUAAAUACAUGAAAAGCAAUUCCCCCAUGCUAGUUGUAACAGCCGAAAUGAACGCCACAGUGCCAUUUCAAUCACUUUUAAAAGAUGAAAACAAGAAAGCCUUAGGCAUACAUCUUACCAAUGUGCAGGACUUGAACGCUGGAAACUAAAAGAUUCUGAGAAAAUACUUAAGACCUAGAAGUAAAUAAGCAAACCAUGUUCACUGAGCAGAACAAACCAGAGCAUCCUAGAGAUGUGCAAACUAAUACGCAGGUUUAAUCCACCUCUUUCUAACUGCCAGCAACUUUUUUUCUUGUACAUGUAAACAAGAUUUAUUCUAUAUUGAUUAUCAGAAGAAGAAAGGUUGAAGGAGAUAGAAGGCUUUAAACAAUUUUGAGGACGAAAACUGAGCUGAAUCAUCAAUCAGUCUACCCGCGUCUAAGAUUGAUGGCACUACUGUGUGGUACCGGGGACAAGCAGACCCCUGCAUCGAUGGAACAGAGAAUCCAGAAGCAGCUCUACACAAAUAUACCUACUGGGUGUUCCACAACAGCACAAACCAUUUCAAAGAAGAAACAUGAGAUAAACUUGUCUGCUGGGGAUACGUUAUCCGCAGGGAGAAACACCUCCAUCAGCAGAUUUGACACAUACAGAAAGAUGAACUCAAAUGGAUCACAAACAAAGACUACAUGAAAUGGCAGAAAUGUACAAUGUUUAGGGGAAAAAAACAGAAAAAAAAAACGAUAUAAGGCAUUGUUUCUUAGACUUUGGUGCUAGAUGCAUGUUAAUUAAGACACAAAGCCUUGAUAAAUAAGACUUCAUCAAAAAAAAUUUUCAGAAAGAUCCCAUAAAGAGAAUGAAAAUCAGAGUACAUAUUUACAGUCCAUAUGUCUGACAAAGUGCUGGUAUCCCCAAAAGAUAGCUCAAGACUGAACAAGAAACAAAUACAUGAGUCUGGAGAGCUAUUCCACCCGUGGUCUUGGGAACCUUCUGAAUUGUGUGAAUCAUGACCAUAUGACUGUCAGAAUUCAGCUUAUAAUUUUGAACUAUAAAUUUCCAAGAAGUUGCCUUUGUGGCAAACUACAAGAAAGGGUUUAGGGGAUUUCUUUGUAACUUAUCAAUAAGCGAAGUAUUUUGACGUAGGUCAUACUAGUCUCAAAUUCACUAUAAAGCCAAGGCUUGCUUCUAACUCUUGAACUCCUGCCUCUACCGCCCAAGUACUGAGUGAGAUUACAGGUAUGUGCCAUGGUAUCCAACCUCAAAACAAAAUGUUUUGUUUUGUUUUUAUUUAAAAAUACUGAUUUAAUUUUUAAACUCUCAAUGCUUACAAACAAAACAACGUCUGAUAGAAACAGGAAGCAGCUAACAACUGUGUAGCCUGUACCUUCCACUGAGAGAAUGCUAAGUUAUGUUAUCAAGCCCAAUGGAGCCAAUAUAUUAUUUCAACAUGGAAUCUAUAAGAAAAUUAUGAAUGAGUUCCUUACCCCUUUGGUUAGCUCAGAAGCUAUAGCACAGGCUGGGUGGAUCAAGCAGUGGACAUUUGUUUCUCACAGCUGAGAAGAAAGUCCAAGACCAAGGCCUUGACAGUUUCAGUCCACUGAGAAUCCCCUUGCCUGGCUGCAGAGGCAGGCUUCUUGCAAUAUCUAUCUAGUCUUCUUUUCUUCCCACAGGACACUGGAAGCCUUGCAGAGGACCACCUCCUGAUUCCUCCUCAUCAGUAUUAGGAGGUUUGACGUGGCUCAACAUGAAAUUCAUAGCUGCUUCUCUUUUCCUUUCAAAAUCUUUGCAGCACACGUGGCUGGCAGCCACACGGUGCGAAGCACAGUUUAAGAUGAACAUGUUCUAGAAACGCUUUGGCUAAGCAUCUCCUCUCCUAUCGUCCCACAAUAACUAGAUGAUACAGGUAGGUGAUGGGAUGCCCAUGGUGACUCUGUCCUUGCUAUCAUGACCUGAAAUGGGAAAGAGGAAGGGAGUGGGGCAACUUCUCAGUUCUCCCUAAGAACGGUGUCGUCUUCUUGAAUUUUCCAAAUGCCCACUUGUGAGAAAGGAGGCUGUCAUGGAAAGACUCAAUACUGGGAAAUUAUUACCUGGGAAAUGCAGAAGAAACCACUUUAAUCUACCCUGAAACGACAUGAAAUGGAUCUUCAUUACUGGUCAAAGCUGUUCUUCAUUUCCUCCCACUAAACCACUGUCUAGGGAAGCAAGCCACUUGCUGAGGAUUUUCCACCUCUGUCUCAAGAGAGGUCUUGCCUUUUGCAGUAGUGGCUUCCCCUGAACGGCGGUGCCUUCCCCUGAACGGCGGUGCCUUCCCCUGAACGGCGGUGCCUUGGCAACCACAGCUGGAGAUUUGCUCAAAUGUCUUUCCCUGGCAGGCAGGUAAAUGCCAUCCAUAUCCCAUCAUAGACAGGAGCUUUCCUUGAGUCACAGUUGCCGGGCUGUAUCAGCAGGAAAGUUACUCAGAAGCUGAAACAAAGGAUGCACAAAAGUGCCCAUUUUGAGCCAGGGCUACAUCAGGCUCUAGUUUCAGCUGAUAAGGAGCAUAAAGGAGCAGCCGUGCUGUGACUCCGUUUCCUAAAGCAUCGGUCUCACAGGUAAUGCAAUGACCUGCUGGUAAAGGGCUUCCUCAAAUGUCUCUUUGCUGUGGUCAAGGCAAGUUUAUAUCAGGUCGGUGCCCCCUGGACAUUUGUUGCAAAGGGAGUCCUUUUGGAAACUCUUAGAAGGCAGGGUGACCACGUGUGAGGGCAGAGAAGACUUCAGAGCACAGCUUCCAGAUUUGAUCCCAGUGUGUGACCUGGAACAAAUUAUUGUCUCUCUGCCUCAAGUUUUAUGGUGCAUCAAAUGGGGAGAUCAGCACUUGCCGUGUAGGACUGUCCUCAACAUUAGCAUUACAUGCCAGAACUGUGUGCUUUUGACAGAGUCACCAAUCUCUUGUUUCCACCUCUAUGGUCAGUGUUUGGUUUCUCUUAUUGUCAUUCAAACUGGUUUAAACUGGCAAUUCCCUGCUUUCUCUCUCUCUCUCUCUCUCUCUCUCUCUCUCUCUCUCUCUCUCUCUCUCUCUCUCUCUCUCUCUCUCUCUCUCUGCUUUUGUAUCAGAUGCAGUACCCUGGAAGUUUGGGAGCAGGCAGAAGCAGACAUCAUCUAGCUAAUGGACUUCUGGGGACAGAUCCAAAAUGGACAUCUGAAGACAAAGCCAGCCUUUUCUCCAAGUUAGCAUGAAGUGGAGGCAUGGAAAGCAGAGAGAAGCCAGUGCUUGAAUGGCCCAUGCAGCCAUAGCCCAUUUUCCCUACAGCUUCCCGGGCAGCCCAAAUAUCCUGAGCAUGCUCAGAAGAGACAAGCUUGACCACUAUGCCAUCGUCCAUUACUACGGAGUCAGCCAUGAAGACUAUAGAAGGUAUCACCUGUGUGUUCAUGACGGACACUGAAGCCAAUGCGCACCAAAUCAGACAGGCUGGAGAGGAGCUCUGUAAUAUAAAUGUGACCAUUUAUAGGCCCCACUCAGGCCUAAGGGAUAGAAGUCACAGGUUCAUCUGGCUCCUGGUUAUAAUGAUUCAAAUGUUACUGACAAAAUUGGGGUCAUCUCUACGUAGUCUAACUAAUUCCAAAUUCAAAUAUUUUUUCAACAUUUACAAAAUAAAAUAAAAUAAGACAAAGCCCAAUUCUUUGUGCUAUUUUAUUUAAGUGACUUUUCACUGUGAAGGACUAGCUAGAGAAGGUGAAUUCAGUUGUGACUCAAACAGACAGACCCUGUUGUGACCCGCUGGGAGGAAAGGGACAGAGCCAAAGCUUCCUUUCGGCAAUGAAUGCCCCUGCUCCUUCCUUGGCACGUCUUGGAUCUUGGCUAGUCAGGUACUUGCUAACAUGGCUUGGGAUGAGUCUUAUAAAAUCCCCUUGUCUUUAAUACUGGUGAAGCUUAUAACUUGCCUCUAAUUGAAUAUGGCAAAGUUAGCAGGAUGCUGGCCCUACAAUUGUGCAGCUUCCUUGCUGCCUUUGAGGUUAUGAUUGCAGC